Molecule: unclassified non-coding RNA, 1003 nt
Filed under: Zea mays
Lineage: Eukaryota; Viridiplantae; Streptophyta; Magnoliopsida; Poales; Poaceae
Description: misc RNA Zm00001eb005790
Source: RNAcentral
UUCACAUUCGCGGAGCCUGAACCUGAACAAGACUUGCUGAGGAUCCAAGGUCGCUGCUCGCUGGUACGUACAAAUUUGUGUGGCAAAACACGUUGUGAUCCUGUCGCACUCGCACGCAUCCUCUCCGGUCCGCGGGCGGGGGGUGGGGGGUGGAAGGAAAAAAAGACCCAUGACGACGACCGACCGAGCUACCACCUAGUAGCUGGUAUACAGCAGGGACGCCUUGCACCUGAGCACGAAGCCGAGGAGCAGCAGCAUGGCGAGGAGGCCGCCGGAGGACCCCCACACGCGGUGGAUCCAGUAAGGGUCGAACCUGACCACGCGCCGGUCCAUGAAGCACGUAACGUUGAUGGCGAGGAUGAGCGCGAGGAGCACCGCCGGCAGCCACAGCGCCGACGGGCCGCCGCCGUCGUCCUCGUCCUCCUCCUCUCGCUCCGCCACGGGCCGCCGGUCGAUGUACAGCGGGGACAGCACCGCCAGGACCGCCAGGACGAAGCACACCAGCUUCUCCGUGGAAGAGGACCUCCCCAUGGCGACGACCGAGGACGAGGUGCACGCGCGGCCUCUCUCUCGCUCUCCGAGUCCGGUGCCUAUAUAUGUAGCAAGCGUGUAGCUGCUUGCUGCUUGAGAAAGAGAAUAACGCUUCUUUAUGCUAGCUAGGAGCAGAUGUUCGGCGGCUGGCCGAUGAAGAUGAACCAACCAGUCUUCAGAUGGACGCAAGGAGAGAACCUUUUGUUAUGCUUAUCUAUCACUAUUAAUACGGCCGUGUAGCUUCUGACUGCUCAUUGAUUCGUGCCAUGCAUGCAGAGGAACAUGUUCAGGUUGUCUUGCUCUUGCAUGAUUUAUGUAUGUAUGUAUCCACACAGGACUAUUGGUCUAGUGGUGCGCAUUGGAUUGGAUUGGACUGUGACCUAGCUAAUAAAGGAGAUUCUCCAGAGCUAGUGAGCCUGGAAUCAGAUGCCGAGAGGCAAGGAGUGGUCCAAGUGCUCGACGAACAGUGCAG